CGGAGGGCAGCGAGAUCGCGCAUCUCUGUUCUCCGCUCUUGAAGCGACUGCAGGGGAGCCAGAUGCCUGACUGUGAGCCGCUGCCUGUGGAUACCUAUCCCAAAUGCCAGAGCAGGCGAGAGCCACAGACACAUCUCACCAUCUGACAUGAUAGCAGAGAGAAUAGGGGCAGUGGACGGAGUACGAAUUAUUUUUUUUUAAUUGAUUUUCCUUUUACCUCAACCUCUACUUCAAAUGAAGAGCUUCAUUGGACUUGGAGUACCGGGCAUCAGUAGAAAGAAAAUCCGUUAUCCCACUCAGCCCCUGCUGCUGCGGUGCUGCUGCCUGUGAGCGAGCUCUCCUCUCAUUGCAUUGGAAUAUACAGCGUGCUCAUAUGCGCAAAACCAUGGAGAUUAUAUGACGUGGAUUUAUUUUUCGAACAAAACUGGACAUAUACAAAAGCGACGUUUACUCUUCUUUUCGUUUUUGAAUUGCCCUUUUCCGUUCUUUCGUUUGAUCUGUGGCUACUUUAUGAUCUCAUGUCCUUAGCGAUCCUUCCUUGUUUUCAUUUAUUUAUUUUUUUACACUUAUUAUUAUUUUCGGUCUGUUUCGGAGGCGCAGAAGUGGGAUGCCUCGCAGAGAACAUUUGUGGGGAGAAGAAUCCGCGCAGCAGCGAGGGUGAAUGAAUGAUAGUCUCCCUCUCCAUCUGAGACGUGCCAUGGAUGGUAAACUUAAUUUGUAUCCACGGAACCGAUCGGGGAAUAGCCGUCGCAUCAAAUAACUACUGCUGACAGCGAUCAGAGAACCUCACCAGGUCCAGUGUGUUGUCAAAGCUGCGGCAUAAAUGAAAGGAAGUGGACAGGUGGGAUUCCAGUCCAGAGGCAUGCAUGGUAGACGCACAGUGUGGCAGGACGAAUGUCAUAGGAUGAACACUGCUGGUGGGGUGUGUCUGUCUGUGCUGUCCUCCCUCCUGGCUGUGGCUGGGGCCCUGGCUGCCUUGUCUGCCCUCGCUCCAGCUUCUCUCUCUGCCCUGGCGGAGGCUGCCUAUGGGGCUGCCCACAGCGUCCCCAGCACCGGGGUAGAAGGGUCCCCCUCGCCCAUCUCCUCACCAUGCUCCAGCCUUGUAGCUGGGGUGCUCUAUGGCUCUUUCUCCCUAAGGGAGCUCUUUCCAUCCAGGGCACCGGGCUGUUCCUGGUCCCUAGAAAACCCUGAUCCCACCAAGUACUCCCUCUACCUCCGCUUCACCCGCCAGCCUAUCAUCUGCCGGACGCACUCCCCCAUGCUCCUCUCUCUUGACCACCACCUGGCCAAUCAAAGCUGUCCCCUUCACGUACAGACACCUGCUGCAAGGGAUCAGGAAGUCAUCGAUCUUUGUGGCAGCCAAUCCAACUCAGAGGGACCAUACUCCUUCCUACAGUUUGAUAAGAACUUUGUCCAGAUAUGUUUAACGAGACAUCCAGCAGAGGAUGAGCCUCAGGUAUCGAAGGAAUUGCUGGAGCUGAGACUGGUAGAGGUGUUACUCAUCAACAAUGAGAACUCCAGUCAGUUCACCUGCGGCGUGCUCUGCCGAUGGUUUGAGGAGUGUUUACGCACCGGUCACAAUGGAGACCAGGAGGUUUCUGAUGGAGAUGGUUGUGGGAUGACCCAGACAGGAUGUAUCUGUCCGAACCACAAUAUCAUGGCACCACCUAUUCCAUUGCUCCCGGAGACGCCCCACAGUUCCAGCAAUGGUUCUUUCAUUCCUGAUGACUGCUGUGUCACUGAGCUGCAUUCCAAUGAAGCAAUCGCCAUAGCACCCAGAGAUGUUCGACAAGACCAAUAUGAUGAUGACGAUCUGAAGGUGAAGACCCAGAGACCUCGAUCAGCUGACCAGCCAGGUGUGUUUCAGGCACAAACUGGUGACCCUGCGGCAGAGGAGUGGUCACAGUGGAGUGUGUGUUCUCUCACAUGUGGGCAAGGCUGGCAAGUGAGGACGCGAUCAUGUGUUUCCUCUCCCUAUGGGACGCUGUGCAGCGGAGCCCUGCGGGAAACUCGCAUGUGCAACAACACCGCUACCUGUCCGGGUGAACCGGGGAGCACAGGCUCAGUGCAUGGGCUGUGGGAGGAGUGGUCGCUAUGGAGUCUGUGCUCCGUGACCUGUGGGAGGGGCUCCAGGACGCGAACCAGGAAGUGUGUGAACGAAGGCAUGGCCGUGGCUUGUGGACAGCCCGAGGUUCAGACCAAACUCUGCAACAUAGCAGUGUGUCCUGUGGAGGGCCAGUGGUUGGAGUGGGGGCUGUGGUCGAGAUGCAGUGUGACUUGUAACGCAGGAACCCAGCAGAGGCAGCGACGCUGCAGUGCAUCGGUGCACGGCUGGGCUGAAUGUAAGGGCCCCCAUCAGGAGAGCAGAGAUUGCACCAAUCCUUCCUGCAGUGGUGGAGGUAACUGGGGCAGCUGGAACCACUGGAGUCUCUGCAGCAAGACAUGUGACUCCGGUUGGCAGCGUCGCUUCAGGAUGUGUGACGGCACCGGACAACAGGGCUACCCCUGCGAUGGCUCGGGAGAGGAGGUCCGGUCCUGUAAUGACAAGAAGUGCCCUGCUCCUCAUGAGAUAUGUAAAGAAGAUCACCUUCUCACUAUGUCAUGGAAGAGAGCCUCAGCUGGAGAAACUGUCUACAACAAGUGUCCAACUAACGCCACUGGAUCUGCUAGUCGUCGUUGCAUGCUGGACAAUAAUGGAGUUGCUUUCUGGGGUCCUCCGAGCUUCGCCAGAUGCGUCUCACUUGAAUAUAGAUAUUUACAUUUAACUUUACGAGAGCAUCUCGCGAAGGGUCAGAGGACCCUGGCUGGGGAGGGCAUGUCUCAGAUCGUAAGGACUCUCCUGGAGCUCUUGCAGAGGAGGAGCUACUACAGUGGUGACCUUCUCUUUUCCACGGAGAUCCUGCGAAAUGUGACGGACACCUUCAAAAGAGCAACCUACAUCCCAGCUACCGACGACGUGCAGAAAUUCUUCCAGGUACUCAGCCUCAUGUUGGACUUGGAAAAUCUAGAGAAAUGGGAGGACGCCCACCAGGUCGCUCCCGGUGCUGCUUUGAUAAUGAGGAUAGUGGAAGAUUUCAUUCACCUCAUUGGAGAAGCACAAAAGCCUUUCCAGAGUUUCCUGGUGGUUACCAACAACCUCAUGAUAACCGUCCAGCGAGAGCCGGUGUCAGCAGUUUCCAGCGAUAUCAACUUCCCCAUGAAGGGCCGGAGAGGGAUGAAGGACUGGGCCAGAACAGCAGAGGACAAGCUCUACAUCCCUAAAGAGGUCUUCACCAUCCCGAAUGAAGAGACGGAGACGGAGUCAGAGUCAGAGUCAGAGUCUACAAUGUACUAUGUAAUCGGAGCCAUCUUGUACAGGACGUUGGGUGUCAUCUUACCAGCACCAAACCCCCCUGCAGUGAUCAACUCCAAGAUCCUUACAGUGACAAUACGGCCAGAACCUGAACCCAGCAAGCCCAUGGUGGUGGUGGAGCUGUCACCACUUUUGAAUGGUACAUCAGAUCCACAGUGCGUUGUCUGGGACUAUGGCAACCCGGAAGCUGGCGCAGAAAACUGGGGCACAGAAGGCUGCCAAACGCUCGCGUCAACCACUGUCCACACCAAAUGCCUGUGCAGCAGGAUUUCCACCUACGCCGUGAUAGCGCAGCAAGCUAAAGACCCGGAAAUGGGUCCUACCAGCAUGCCCUCUGUGCCCCUCAUGGUGGGCUGCGGGGUUUCCUGCAGCGCUCUUCUCAUCCUGCUGCUAAUCUACGCUGCCUUCUGGAGGUACAUACGUUCGGAGAGAUCGAUCAUCUUGGUGAAUUUUUGCCUCUCCAUUUUGGCCUCCAACUUAUUGAUUUUGGUGGGACAAUCUCAAACGCUUAGCAAGGGUCUAUGUACUGUGACUGCCGCCUUCCUGCAUUUCUUCUUCUUGGCAUCCUUCUGCUGGGUGCUGACAGAGGCGUGGCAGUCCUAUCUGGCCGUCAUUGGCAAAAUGAGGUCACGACUCAUUCGCAAGCGUUUUCUGUGCCUCGGCUGGGGUCUUCCAGCUCUAGUCGUAGCAGUGUCGGUGGGUUUCACCAGAGCGAGAGGUUACGGCACAGCAAGCUAUUGCUGGUUGUCCUUGGAGGGCGGUCUGCUUUAUGCCUUCGUUGGGCCUGCUGCUGUCAUUGUAUUGGUCAAUAUGCUCAUUGGAAUUGUGGUGUUUAACAAGCUCAUGUCACGAGACGGCAUUUCAGACAAGUCUAAAAAGCAACGAGCGGGUGUCCCAGCGGAGGCGCGUAGCCGACUGCUCCUGAAAUGCUCCAAGUGUGGCGUGAUCUCGAGCACCGCUUUGUCCAGCUCGACUGCCAGCAGCGCCAUGGCGUCUCUGUGGAGCUCCUGCGUGGUUCUCCCCCUGUUAGCAUUAACCUGGAUGUCAGCAGUGCUGGCCAUAACCGACCGGCGCUCCACACUCUUCCAGGUGCUCUUUGCCGUCUUUGACUCUGUCCAAGGUUUUGUCAUCAUCACUGUCCACUGUGCUAUGCGCCGAGAGGUGCAGGAUGCGGUGCGCUGUAGGAUGGGGGGAUGUAAAGACGACAGCGAAAACUCGCCAGACUCCUGCAAGAAUGGACAGGUGCAGAUCAUGACGGAUUUUGAAAAGGAUGUGGAUUUGGCGUGUCAAACAGAGAGAGGACACCCAUUUAUAUUCAAAGAGGUGAACGCCUGUAACCCUGCCACCAUCACUGGGACCCUUUCCCGCAUCUCCCUGGAUGAUGAGGAUGAUCCCAAGCUGGCAGCCCAUCAGGAGGGGGGAGUUGGGCUCAACUUCAGCUCCCUCCCCGGGAACAUCCCCCCACCCAACCUCAUCGUACAGGUUCCAACUCUCGGCGGCCUCAAUGAGCUGAGCGAGACGCCCCUCAAGAAGGAGCUAAACGUAGAUCAGCAGAGACAACAGGGGCAGCAACGCAGUGGCGCUCCAAUCUACCUGUGCACCGAGAGUGGCCUGGGCUGGGCUCGACCACCCACUUCCUCCAACACCUCCCAGGACGGAAGUGCCGGAAGUGGGGGAAGCGGAGGGGGAGGAGGAAGUGGAGGAGGCGGGGAGGGAGACUACAUGGUCUUACCUCGUAGGACGGUCAGUCUCAAACCUCCAGCGCCCUCCUCUCAAGGAGGAGGCCUGGGACUGGGGUGCGAGGACAAGCCUCUCAACAUCGCAGUGGAGGAUCCUCCCUUCCCCCCGCCUCCCUCACCCUUGACCCUCCACCCAGCUGAAAGUGAGGCGUACCCGGCGGAUUUUGUGCCGUCGAGUGUGGGCGACAUGAACAUCGCCAUGAACCUCAACCGCUCCUAUGGGACGAUCAAAACCAUGCCCCACGGGCACGGCCACAUGAUGGCUCAAGGUGGUCUUGUACACUCCCACGGAGGACACAUGCACUCCCACGGGCAUUCGCUCCAGCUGAAGCAGGGCCAGAGGCCGUCGGUCAGACAGAUUCUAACAGGGGGAACCACAGUGGAGAGAACCAGGACCCUGCCACGCAACCUGGGCAGCACCAAUGCCAACAGCAGCCUCUCAGCAGGAUCCCUGGAGAGGAAAAGAGUACGGUACUCUGAGCUGGACUUUGAGAAAGUGAUGCACACUCGCAAAAGACAUUCUGAGCUGUACCAUGAGCUCAACCACUCGUCCAAGUUCCACACCAUAGACAGGUAUAGCAGGGACCCAGCCAUGUCCACAUUCAAGGUCCCCCCUCCCCCACCACCGAGGCACAACACCGAGCCAUCACUAGUGCGCAGAGCCUCCCUCGUUUACAAAGAAAGUCAAAGUAAGACCUACUAAACCCCGCAUAAACCGUGUGCCGUAGAGCCCCUUUAACUCACUCUAAGGCCGUUAGUUAAUGCGCUACAUGUCGCUGUAUGUGUCAUAGUUUGCCACUGUACAUACUGUAACUGUGUUUCUGAGCUGUAAAAAUGUACAUUUCACGCGUGAUUGAUUGUUCGCUAAACCUCUCAACCAAUCAGCCAAUAACCAAUCGAAGCUUAGCAACCAUAUGUAGGCAAGGCAGGCCUGUCAAGCUUUGGAUUUUUCUACAUGUUCAGUUGGUGAGCAAACUCAGCAUUUAAAGAGUUUGCAGGGUUUUGCAGGUUUUUUUUUUAAAGCUUUUAGGAAUGUAAGUAAUGGAUUAAAAAAUGUGUGUAUCCGCUCCAAGCUGCUAUCAUUAGCAUGUACGGCAAAUUAGCUUAACACAUAAAGUAAAUGAGCAUUACUUAAGGCCAAGGAGCACAUCCUUAGUUUGUGUCUUUACAAGUUACAUGGAAAAAAAGCCCCAUUCACUAUAGCACAUCCACUGUGUAGUGUUUUCCCACUGUGUGGAAGCUGAUCCUGAAAUAUCAGAGUUUAAGCUAGUUUUAUGUUCAGUACUGCUCCUUAUUAAAGCCAACAUUACCUGAGACAAGUUUGAAACCACAUCAGUAGGUCUUCAUCCUUUAAGCCUUUACUAUUGUGCCAUUAAAAAAAGAACAUGCUCUCAGUGCUAGAGGGUGAACGCCACACCUCGGGACAGGUUGGGAACGCCACUGCUGAUGCCCACAACAAACACAUCAAAUUUUCCAGUCAUUUAUGAAUGACUAGAUAUUGUUAAGGAAAAAGAAGCCAACCCUGUUUACGCUGUUAGAAGUUGUGGUGCUCAGCAGUCUUGUUUCAAGACUUCAGCAGCACUUUGUGGAGAAUUAAUGCGUUCAUUGGUUCUGGUUACACCCCACUCUGACAUUUACUACUGUCAUUUCCUGCAUCAAUCUAAGGCUGCACCUAAUGAUUAUUUACAUUGAUGAUUAAUCUGUCAAUUAUUUUGUCAAUGAAGGCGAAAUAAAUAGUAUAAUACUGUGUGAAAAUAAACUGUGAAACCAGGUAAAUCAGCCCCCUUUGUAAAAGGUUCGUGUGUGUAGUGCUAGAUAGAAAAAGCUUGACAGGCGCUACUUAACAGUGAUUAAGAUGUUAGGAGAUAAGCGAACAGUCAAUUAGAGGAAUGUACUUUAUACUUAUAGCAUUACCCGCUCAAGUAGCCUAUUUUAGACACUGGAAAGCCUUUUUCAAGGCGAUAAAUAUGUGUAGUUAGAGUCACACAGACAUUGUCAAACUAUGAGCUUACUCCAUGUAGCCUAACAUCCACGACCCAUCAGCGUUGUCUCCUAGUGAAGUGACUGUAUUUGAUGAGCCUAAAUAUUAGGUGGUCCCCUAGUGGUGUGGUAGUGCGGUGCAUCACAGCUUGUAUCCCCUGUGCGUCUGCAUUCCUCUUCCUCCAUCAACUCCUAUACAAAUUGAAAUACAUAAUCUGGAAUCACUAUAAUCAGAUAGAUUUGUAAGGUGGUCUGAUGACUGGCUUCGUCUUCAAUGAUGAAAGACGAAAAACAUAAACUCGUUUUUUUGUUGUUGCUGUGGUUUUGCUGUUUGGGGUUGUGUUUCCAUUCCUGUAGCGUCACUGUGUGUGGUGUGAUAAUCCAUGCAGUCCUCGUGCCCAUUUCAGUGCCUGGAUUAAACCUUAUGACCAAACAACACAACCACGCGAUAAAUCAGUUCAUAAAGACAAUGACCCAUCCAAAACGAUUCAUAAUCACCUCAUAAACCACGAUACUCUAUCCAUAAACUAGCUCAUUGGCACUCAAACGAGCCAAACAUGAUGCACUUUGUAUGUGUGCCAAUGAGACACUGUAAGAAAUAUCACAAAUACGUAUGCGGUCAGAAGAGACCUGAUCAAUUUUACUUCUCUGGAAAGGUAGGAUCUCUGUGUUGAGGAGAUGAGUGGAUAUCAGAAAAUGUCCCCUUCACACUUUUUGUUUUUUUCUUUCUUUUCAAGUGCAGUGGGCUUAAAGUGGUCUUGUGCAUUACAUGUGUCAUUACAGAUAGAAUCCACAACUUUCAAUCUCUUGAUUUCUGCUGUUCUUGUCUUUUCUUGCCUCUCCAUACCACCUACUCACACUUUUGUUAACUCCAUACUGCCCAGCAACUGGUAAUCCCUUAUAUCACACUGAUAGCUGGAAGCUGUUAGUGAUGACUAAAGUGUUACUCUUUAUAGAUGGAAAUGAGGGCGAAAGACAUGACCAGAAAAGAGGGGGAGGUAGACACCAUAUUACAGGACUCCGCAUUAACCUCCAUGUUCAAAAUCACCUUGUCUGUCUUUUCUAUUCGGCUGCUGAGGCUAGCCGAGCUAUUCCUGUUGUCUGAAAAUAAAUUCUGUUUUUUUUUUUUAAAACAUGCAUGACCUUUAUAAUCGACCCUGUAAAAUGGCUUUCUGAUAAACCAUCGCUUCUUCUCCCAGUAAGAAUAUAUAUAACAAUAAUAUAAUACAAGUGUAUGUGUAUAAAACUAUACACAUAUAUACACUUUUAUUCUUCUCUGUUGAAGUGGAUAGAAAGUGGGCUUCACAUUACGUGCUAAUGAUAAAAAGAAAUCCAAAUCCGACUCUCUUUUAAGUGCAGUGGAUGCUCAGGCAGGGGCAAUGUGGCUUGCGGGGGGAUAGAGUCCAUUCUCAUUGUGUCUCUCAUAAUGGAGACAGGAGACAAAUGGAGUCAGUGGGGUUUACUGAGAGAUAAAGUGUUUACUGUGUUUAUGUAACACACUAUGUAUUAGUAAUACUUUGUUGCGCUAAUGUUUAGAUUCAAAACAGCUUCUUGGCCUCCGUCACUGUGGAGUUAGCCUGUAGUUUUCCAUCCUCUCCGCAGGGUUCAGGAGGUCAUAAGACAAAUUUGCAUGUGGUGCCCAGUGAUGCAGUGUUGUUCCUCACUGUGUGUUAGAUGGACGGUGUGAGUUUGUGUGUGUGUGUGUGUGAGAGAGAGAGAGAGAGAGCGAGAGACAGAGAGGGAGUUUGCACUGCGUAAUAGCCAGGCUGAUGCAUUUUUUAGCUAUCAAAUGGGAUAUAUUUCCAUCCCGUCGUCUGCUGUGUUCUUGAUUAAAUGAAGCGUGCUUUGGCUUCCCUCUCCAGAUAGACAGCGAGGAGUUGUGCGGAACGCAGUGGGAUGGAGAAAAAGACAAAGAAAACAAGUGCUCUACUUUGUUGUGAUUUCACUCAUGCUAGAUCAGAGCGGGGACAGUGAGCAAAUUUUUGAUUGUGAAAUAUUCAUUUGUGCUUGAGGCGUGUGUUUGAAUUCCGUGAUGAAAUCCACGUCUAUUAGGCUACAUAUGGAAGUAUAUUCUUGGAUUGGUCUAAGAGGGUUUCUCCAUUAGCCCGCAUCAUAAAAGAGAGGUGAGACCUGAGGUUAGUGGCACUAAAUUCUUGACAUUAGUGGCUGGUAUUGAUAUUCCAGCAUGUAUUUAGUCCACUAAAGGGAAUUGUAAGGUAAUGCUUUGGGGAUGUGUCUUGUAAAAUGAAGAUGUAUAAUUUUAAAUGACAAAGGCUCCAUUUUUGUUGAUUCAAUGAGGGCAAUUUGCGUGCAUUUGCAAACCCUGUAGGUCUUGAUAGUUAAUUUACUGGCAUUGAGCUAAUUUCAAUUUCACAUCCCAGCAAUAAAGCAAGUCCUCCCCUCUUCCUCCACUUCAUAUCUCAUUCUCCCCUCUAUUUAUCCUCACGGCUUGACAUUUUCUCUAUUGCUGUCUCCCUCGUUUUCCCAUUUCCCCCUCUAAACUCAGCCCUCGGUGGCACGUUUGAGGCAUUAAUUGAAUAAUUAAUUCCUCUCAUUAGUUUGUUUUUAAUUAUUUCCUUGCCCCCUUCUCCUUGCCGAGUAUAAACUCAUCAACUAUUUUCAUCCUUCCACACAAAUUGCCCAUGAAAACUGAGGGCUGGCAGAGUGUAGCUACGGCACACUGGCUCUAUCAGUGGCCCCUAAUGAGGGGACGGUUAGCCCAGGCGGAACAAGCCUAACACUGGCUUUGUGCACCAAGAGGCACAAUACUGAUUUAGCUCAUUUAGUGCCCUUGGGCCAAUUAAAGGGAGGUGAAAAUGGCCAAUUGCUAGCUGGAACUGUUUUCACUAUAGGAGCACUGGCCUCGCACAGGCCGGGAUAGCAGCAAACCAAGCCUGUGUGUCUGAUUGCUCGUUUGUUUGCAAUGUGUUGCACUAAUGGAAUUUAUUUGCCCUACAUUCUCCAGAUUUGGCUCCUUUGAAGGGCCUUAUUAUUUGUGACACAGAUUCCUUCCAAGAUUACAGAUAAAUGGUCCUAAAGACCACUCUGCCCAUUUAGUCUAUUUUGUGCCCCCCUAAUGAAUUAUGCUGGGGCUAUAUGCAUCAUUAUUUUGGCAAUAUGAUAAAAUAAACACACAAAAAACCUUGAAAUAGUCCAGUUCUUGUUCAAGGACCCAAAGCCCACAGUCAACAAGCCACAGUCAUGUUCUGGUAUCCACUCUGUCUACCCGUGCGUUGUUUGAUGUUGCUUUCAUUUUCUUCGUGUAUAAAUGUGAUUUUAAGUUUGUUUCAUGUGAGCCUCCCACUCAGUGUAUGUUUUUUCUUUGCCUUACUGCCACAUUUUUUAUUGAUUUAUGUUUUUGUUUUUGUUUCCUGUUUUAUGUCCUUUGUUGGCUGACUGGGCCUUGUGUUGCAUGCUUGUUGUCAUGUCCCAGUUUGAAUGUAGCCCGACAGUCAGCAGAGCCAUGGGCAUCCAAGUCAACAAAGAGGGAAAAGCGAUGGAGCAUUUCGUCUGCCGGAGGUGAAAAGAACUC
This is an RNA transcript of Anarrhichthys ocellatus (wolf-eel), 10603 nucleotides long. It is a transcript of the gene named adhesion G protein-coupled receptor B2, with no coding region annotated. The record is from RefSeq and is a predicted model, not a curated record. NCBI's taxonomy places the organism in Eukaryota, Metazoa, Chordata, Actinopteri, Perciformes, Anarhichadidae. The transcript has 36 exons.